ACUAUCCUGUGGAUUUUUUUCUAGUCACAUUUUCAACUGAAUAAUAUUUAGAUGUACUUAUUCAGGACACCUUUUAUAAAAGGUGAAAUUUGGUGGCAUUUGCUUUCCUAUUUCUAACCUUUUCCUGAGUAGGUGUUAUUUUAACCAUUUAGCAUAAGGUAAAUAGCUGUUUUGACAAAAAUAACUUCAGUAAAGUGAAUUUUAUCCUGUUGCAUCUGAAAUGUUUUAUAAUUUAAAGCACGAUGCACAGACUGCUUUUACCAAAUGAGCCGCAAAUGUAACAAAAAGACAUUUUUCUCUCUCCCAUCCCUCAUCGUGAUGGGAUUUUUUUUCCUAAUAAUAUGGGAGUAGGAAGUGGUAUUGAGAAUUAUUAUCAACUAUGGCUAUUGCCGUCACUCUUAGAAACAUCUUUACGUUCUUUAUUACUCUGGACUUAGCUCUCUUUUCAGAAAGAGUCUGCAGCAGCAUAGGAAAUGUUAAGUUACCUUCAGUGUCCACAAGCAAAUGUACCUUCUGCUAGGAUCUUGCCCUGAGCUUGCCAGCCAAAACAUUUAUUGCCUUGUGUAGCUGCAGUGUCAUUAAAAUGACCUGGCCUUUCUGCAGUUUACCAGUUAGAGAAAGAGAAGGAAAAAUGCUGGAAAUUCUACAUAGAAUGUAAAAUAACAUAAACCAGAAAAAAAAGGGGGGGGGGGAGAGGGAAUAAGAAAAGAAAUGAAGCAGCAUUCUGCACUUGAAUCAACCUCCUAUUUCAUUUCAUCUUCUCUUACUUGCUUCUGAAAAGCGGACAAAACCAAAGCGUCUUCGCUUUAGGGUCUUCUCAGCAUUCUCCAGGGCAUGAAGGCAUAUGGGCAUUUUGGAUUCCUGAGCCCACAGCCUGAACAAUUUCUAAGUAUGUCCUACAGUAGGCUCUGAAAUUGGAGGUAUCCCUUAUCUGAGCUCUUGCGUUUCUGAGACUCGGAACACCCUGUGCGUGUCCAUUAUUUAUGAAUGAAUGGGGCACAAGGUACACUGGAGUCCAGAUUUUACUUUGUGAAUGAUGGAGGCACCCAGGAAGGCUUUACAGGAGAUGGUACAGUAGUUUUGAACAAAGAAAUGAGAAAUAUUAUUGGAUAAUAGUGUUUUAAAUCCAGAACAAUUAGGUGCAUUUAACUUUAUCAUUGUUCUCUAAGAGGCUGGUGGAAGCUGUCCUUUCUCAUACAGCAAUCAGUCUUUUCACAGUGUGGCCCGUUGUUAAUAGCCUUAAAACAAGAUUAAAUAAAACAUGUUAAAUAUUGCAAUUAUUGUGGGAAAUAAAAUUAUUUGGUGAGCAUAAUAGGGAGCAAUUCAAGCAUUUAACAUGAUCCAGGAAAUGCUACUCCAAACAAUUGCAUUUGCUUUAUGCAUUUUUCCCCUUUGAUUGCUGACAGAUGCCUUUUUGGAAACAAACAUCUAAAUGGUUUGCUUUCAGUCAGAAAAAAAAUAUAACAGAAAGUGGCUACAUGUUUUGAAUUUAACUCUUGUCAUUUGAAUACUUCUUUCCACGGCACGUGAAUGAAUCUGAGGCAAAAAAGGGACCGUCAUCAAGAAAUAGCCCCAUCAGGAUUUGGACUUUCUUCCUUCCCUUGAGCAGGUUUUAUAAGAAGUGGGAAUCCUCUGGCUCCGAAGUCAAGUGGUAGGUUAAACCGCUGGGCAUUCCGCGCGGCAUGAGGAAUACGGCCUGGUGACUGGGGGAGCAUUGGAGAGGGAAUCGUUUUCUCCUAGCAUGAAACCUCUGGCAAAGAGCAAAUCACUCUCCGGACUCCUGGCUCUUGUGGCCAACGCGCCCCAAAUCGCUACCUCCUUCUGAUGAAUGGGAAGAACCCCGGACUGCUGAGGGGUGGGGGAGUCCCAUCUGUAUCUGCUACAGUGCACUUGGAUAAAGGCCCCAAAGCCUCCGCUGCCGACAGGUGUACAGUGCUAAGGAGGGGCUUGCGUUUGUCAGAUGCUGCUAAAAGGCAACAUGAAAUGGAAUAUUAAUGAUUUUCAGAGGCUGGACAGUAAGUAGAGUGGUUGAGAACACUGUUUCUGAAGUUCAAUUGUCCUUAUCCUGGCUUGGCUGGUUACUAACUGUGUGACCACUCCCAAAUCACUUAACCUCUCUGAUUCUCUGUGUCCUAAAUAGGAAACUGAAGAUAAUUUGUUAGUUAAGUAGAUAGAUGGAUAGAUAGUUACUUAGCAAAAAUAUGCAUAAAUUCAACAGUUCCUCAUAUGUUAUGAGUGCUCAAGCAAUGUUACUAUUUUGUUAUUGAUGUUUUGUUAUUAUUAUUCAUCUGUUGAGCUAAAUCCCCUCCUUUUUUCCUUCUGAUCCUGCCUGGUGAGGCUGGGUUAGGUCCCUUCUCUUUGAUCUGAGGAUCUAACAACAGCCUAAUAAAUCUAAUAGUCUUUUAAUUAUCUGUACCUUGCCCUGUUGCAGCUCUUAGCACCCUGUAUGCAAUUCAUGUUUUUUCUUCUUUUUUCAAGCUUUGUUUCUAGAGCCACUGGAAAAUUGAAACUCUAGAAGAGUAACCUGAUUUUCAACGCAUCAUAUAAUGACAACUGACAUGUAUUGAGUACUUUCCUUUAGAGCCAGGUGCUGUUCUGAGAUCUUUUUUAUUUUCAGAGAGGUCCUCAUGGUGUAGGAUCUAUCAUUAACCCCAUUUACAAAUUAAAAAACAACAACAACCCAGGCUCCAAGAGUUGAAGCAAUUUGUUUAGGGUCCUGGAGUUAGAGAUGGAAGGAUUUAGGAAUUAUGACUUUGGAGUUUCACCACUCUGGUGUUGCCUCUCAAACUAUGAAAGCGGAAAUAACAGAACUUAGCACCUGCUAUGUGCCAGGUACUUUUUAAGGUGACUUUGGGUAUGAUAAGUCACUUAACCUUCACAAAAAUCCCAGAAGUUCGUAUUAUUAUUUUGAAUUUGCAGAUCAGGGUCAAAAAGUAAGAGUCUUGCCUACUGACACCUACUCAGCAGGGAGAGCAAAGAUUCAACCCUAUGUCUAUUUGCCUAAAAGAUUUUUCCUACUCUAAUAAGGUAGCUCUCAGAAGACUUUAAAAAAUUUCUUUCGUAGAGUUGGAUGCUAGGCUUAACAAAUGUUUAUGGCUUUGGAUAUCUAGGCUGUUGGAAAUCAUGAAAUUGGAAAUGUAUACUUUUGCUGACACUGUAGAGAAGUUUAGUUUAGGGCAAGGGGUAUUUAAGACCUCUUUUUAAAAGCCUGUAUUGAAGAAGGAUUAUCUACUAUUAAUACCUAGGUCUUUUUUCUAACCUUAAUCAGGUGGAAAAUCCUAAAAUGGUGUUCAGGACAUCAGUGUCUAACCCUGAAAAUGAAUGUGGACUCACACGGAAGCUUUGGAAUAAGAGGAAGAAUCUACACAAAAGGAUAGAUAGUCUAAUUCCUCCAGAGCCCAGAAAAAUGCCAAGGUCUUCGGUGGCAGAUUUAUCCCUACUUGAUGAAAAGUAUCGAAGUCUUCUGAACAGAUAAGCCUCAAGUGGCUUAAUGAGAACUCGAAGAACAUCAAGUUGGGAACUGGGAGAUGUGGAUUCUAGCCAGGAAUGCCACUAACUCACCGCAUACUCUGGGUUUUUCUGGAGGUUCCACUGAGAUAUUGUCUUUGCUGUCCAUCACAUGGAUGCCAGCCUUGAGCAGAUGUGAUACCACAGAGGCCCCUUGUGCCUUGCUGUCCAUAGCUUGUAGACUCAGUGCCAAUGUGGUAAGUGAACAAACAUUGGAUCUGAACUCCAUACCCUUGUGUUGAGGUUCUUGGCUGUCUCUCUCAGUUUAGUAAGUGGCAUUUGUUAUUAGUUCUCAUCUGUUUAGCAUCCUUGGUGGAUUCAGGCCAUUCCUUUUUAUUCCUUUGGUCUCUUUUGUGCUCUUACAUAGGCUUUGUAGGCCUGUUGUUUGUGCCACCCCAUAGACUGGUGAAUUUGAGGUUCUCACCAGACCAGCAUCCAUACAAACAUUGCUGUGGGUCACCAAUAGGUAAAGUUCUCCUUCCAUCUAAAUAUUUGUCCUAAGAGCUCAGCUUUGAUCCAGAGAGACUGUUUUCUCGUUUUCUCACUUCUGGGGUGUGCUGUCUGUUUUUGGAGGCUUCCAACUGUCAGAUUGGGGCCCUGAGACAUAAAAUGCACAAGCAUCAAUUUCAACUGACAGUUGCCAGCCCUCAUGGGAUUGUUUAAGUAUAAAUCCUUUCCAGGUCUUGGGAAAAACUCCUGUCUUAUCUGUACUCGUUAGAAUCCUAAUUUUUUUCAAUUAUCUCUCUACAUGAUAUAACUUCACCAAAGAUGAUUUAGGCUUUCAGUGGCUACUCUGGGGAAUGUUUGAACUUGAACAAAAUUAUUCAUUUGAGAGAUGCCUUGGAAGAUAAAAGGAAUUAAUAUUUCUCAGGCCCAAUGGUAGCAUUUUUUGUUUUUUUGUUUUUUUUUUGUUUGUUUUUGUUUUUGAUUGAUACACAGAAGCCUUCAAAGAAAAUUCUGAUUAAAAGAAUUGCUUUAUUAAAUGAUGUUUUGGCCAAAGCUAAUGAGUCAUUAAGUAAUGAGUCAAACUUAAGUAACAGCAUACUAUACUUGCUUUCUCUAGUGAAUCAUUUCCUUCCUUGUCCUCCGGUUGCCUUCCUACAUCCAGUUCUCUUUCCUAUUCUUCAGAUCUAUCUGGUUCUAUACCCCUGUUUACUCUUCUCACCUUUACACCUUGACAGGAUGCCCCUACCUUUUCCCAAAGGCCUUAUUGAAGACCUCAAAAUGUCAGUUGCCUCUAAACAUCCUUCUUGCCUAUGAAUCAGAUAUACUGGCUACAGUAGAAUUGAAACCAUAAAUCCAAGCUGAUUAAGAACUAUAAGGAUUUCCCUGAACCCACACAUAACCAGCAACUAUUCUUAGAAGGAUUUAAGAAUUUAAUUAGUUAAUUAAUUUAAAAAAAGAUUUUAUUUAUGAGAGAAAGAGAGAGAGGCAGAGACACAGGCAGAGGAAGAUGCAGGCUCCGUGCAGAGAGCCCGACGUGGGACUCAAUCCCGGGACUUCAGGAUCAUGCCCUGGGCCGAAGGCAGGCACUAAACCACUGAGCCACUCAGGGAUCCCUGAGAAUUUAAUUUAAUUUAGAAUCAUUUUGGGUGUAUAGCACCCAGCGUUGCAUGACCUAUAUCAACUUUUACACAAGUUGGUUGGAACCUGAGAUGGCAAAAAGACUUGAACUGCCCCAGGAAGGAACCUAUAGGAUCUCUCUUUCCACAGUAAGCCUGAGGAUCAAAGAAAGCCCCCAAAAGUAGGGUAAGGUCUCCUGAAAGUUGUUCCUUAAACAUUUCCAUUAAAAUUAAAUGGAUCAUAAUUUGAUCAUGCAAGUAGCAAAAAGAAGAAUUUUUUUUUUUUUUAGAAAAGAGGAAAUUAUAGGAGAUUUUGGGAUAGACGAGAAAAUAAUUUCUGACAUCUAUCAAUUAAAGCACCAAUAUAACAGCAGCCCUUUUAUUGAAGACUUACUAAGAAAACAAAUUAGAAGGGAAAUAGCCCUUUCUUACUGAAUGACAACACCUGAUAGAACAGUUUGAAAGUGCUCUAUACAGAGAUGAACCAGGACCUCAAAUAAACAUAUAGUCCUACAGAGCAAUCAGUUGGGUGGCCCACUUCCUAACAGAUAACCUAUUGGCAAGAAUACCUGUAGAAAUUCUUAACAGAGGGAACAAUGGAAAAUAAGUUAUCCCAUCUCGGAGAAGAAAAACCAAGAAAAAGAAAAGUCUCUCAAUUCAGAUCAAUGAGAUUGCUCCAGAGAAUGAAAAAGUGCCCAGUAUUCCACCUAGACUAGUCUUAAACAUGCAAGGUAAAUUCAUUAUGAAUAUAAGUAGUCAGCCUGUCCUAUUUCUGGUAGAUAAGCAUGCUAUUCUUUUUCUGUUAAAGUCUGCCGCCUUUGAUCAACCUCUUCCUUGCAUUAAACAUAUCACACAGAUAAUAGGUUUUUCAAGUAACUCACAGCUUCCUUAUCUCCUGGCCUUUGACUAUACCCUGCUCUAUGAUAUUGUCCUUGUAAGUUUAAUAAGAAGAGACUUACUUUGCAAACGGAAUUGCAAUUAGCAUAUGAGAGGGAUAAUUUCUUGAGGUUCUAGAGGUCUCCUCUAUUUAUAAUCAAGUUGUGUCUGCUUUGGAUAUACUUUUGCCUUCUCCAUUAUAAUUGAUAUAUAUCUCAGAGAUCUUGACAAUUGAUGAAUUAAAACAUUAACUGACAUAGAAAAGAUAAUUGGUGCAGAACCUAUUAAAGUUCAGAUAGAUCCUACCAAACUUUUCCAAUAUCCCUUGAAGCCAGGGUAGGGAAGGACUCAAACCUAUAGUUUAUGACUUUUUAUCCAAAUAUAUUCUUAUAGCCUAAACUAUGUCUUGUAAUGUUUCUAUCUUUCCAGUAAAUAAACCAAAUGGAUGAAGAGAGUGAUUUUUAAGAUCUCAGGGCUAUCAACA
Molecule: long non-coding RNA, 6429 nt
Filed under: Canis lupus familiaris (dog)
Lineage: Eukaryota; Metazoa; Chordata; Mammalia; Carnivora; Canidae
Description: lncRNA (ENSCAFG00000055870.1)
Source: RNAcentral